RNAcentral lists this ribosomal RNA (514 nucleotides) under Clostridiales bacterium. RNAcentral's name for it is "partial 23S ribosomal RNA". It matches the Rfam family "Bacterial large subunit ribosomal RNA", at positions 105 to 615 of the family's 2925-position model. The record is from RNAcentral. Lineage: Bacteria; Bacillati; Bacillota; Clostridia; Eubacteriales.
CAAAGAUUUCCGAAUGGGGGAACCCAGCAUUUUUUAUAGAAUGUUACUGCUAGCUGAAUACAUAGGCUAGUAGAGGUAGACGCAGAGAACUGAAACAUCUAAGUACCUGCAGGAAGAGAAAGAAAAUUCGAUUCCCUGAGUAGCGGCGAGCGAAACGGGAAGAGCCCAAACCAAAGAGCUUGCUCUUUGGGGUUGUAGGACACGACAUUAAGAGUCAUAAAUGAGUUUUGUAGAAGAAGCGAUCUGGAAAGGUCCGCCGAAGAGGGUAAAAGCCCCGUAAUCGAAACAAAGUUCACUCUGUUGUGUAUCCUGAGUACGGCGGAACACGAGAAAUUCCGUCGGAAUCCGCGGGGACCAUCCCGCAAGGCUAAAUACUCCUUAGUGACCGAUAGUGAACCAGUACCGUGAGGGAAAGGUGAAAAGAACCCCGGAAGGGGAGUGAAAGAGCUCCUGAAACCGUGUGCUUACAAAUAGUUAGAGCCCGUUAAUGGGUGAUAGCGUGCCUUUUGUAGAA